Molecule: long non-coding RNA, 1189 nt
Filed under: Homo sapiens (human)
Lineage: Eukaryota; Metazoa; Chordata; Mammalia; Primates; Hominidae
Description: HSALNT0341360
Source: RNAcentral
CUGAUCUGAAGUGAUCUGCCCACCUCGGCUUCCCAAAGUGCUGGGAUUACAGGCGUGAGCCACUGCGCCUGGCCCCUUCAGGUGGGUAUUGAGGCUUCACUACAAUACUAGUUCCCCGUUGCUGCCGCAAUAAAUUACCACACACUUAGUGGCUUAAAACAGCACAGAGGUAUUCCUUUACAUUUCUGAAGGCCAGAAUUCUAAAGUCAGUCCCACUGAGUCAACGUGGGAGCAGGGUCAGUGCCUUCCCAGGCUCUGCGGGAGAAUCUGUUUCCUGGCCCUGGAGGCGGCCUGUACUCCUCAGCUUGUGCUGCCCUUCUCGAAUGACUCGCGUUUCCUGCUUUCAUCACUACACCUCCCACCGCUCUCCAUCACCUGCUCUGCUCUUAUAAGGAUCCAGUUUUCAGAAAAAUGGAAUAGUCGUAUCACUGAUCUACGUAAACAAGUUGAAGAAUUGUCUGAAAGAAAAUACAGUGUGUCUAAACUGGAAAAGUCCUGUAAUAGUUUGUUCAUGAGCAUUUACACAAUGGAGUUGCUGUUUCAUCAUGGGGGUACUGUGGACAAACCCAGGGCUGCUGACAUGAACUUAUGAAUUCAACACAUGAAGAUUUACAGCUUGACAAACCAGCUUCAGGAGGGAUUGUGCUGCAUUCGAACAUAGGUUCUGCCAUCAAACACAGAAUGCCCUGAUCCUUAGAGGCAGAGGCAGCUCUUCAGCCUAUGGGCUUUGCAGUCCCCAAAAAAACCAUGAAGCCCUGAGAGUAAUGAAAAGCUUCCUGACAUUGAGGUCACUGUGGAAGAACCACCUAAGCUAAAGAUUCUUUUGAGAACAAGGGCUAGCCUGUGGUUUCAUGGCCUUUCUUCCAUUUGGGGUUCUUGCCAAGUGGAAUUUAAAUGACCUCUUAUCAAGAUGGAUAAACCCAAGUUUCCCAGUGCUGGAAUACAGAAAAUGGAUGGACAAGAUGUCUUUUUGUCACUUCCAGCUGGAUCUACCAUGAAAGACGUCAGAGUCCAGGAAGAGAGACUGACUGGGCAACAUGUUAUUCAGAAUUAGAGAAGAUGAUGUGGUGAUGGAAGAAGAGGUCAGAGAGGGAGAUUUGAAGAUGUUGCAGUUCUGGCCUUCAAGAUGGAGUCAGGGGCUAUCUUCAAGAGAGAAGAUCUUGAUCUGUGGCCCAGGCUGCAGUACAGU